Molecule: ribosomal RNA, 253 nt
Filed under: uncultured bacterium
Lineage: Bacteria
Description: partial 16S ribosomal RNA
Rfam family: Bacterial small subunit ribosomal RNA
Source: RNAcentral
UACGUAGGGUGCGAGCGUUGUCCGGAAUCACUGGGCGUAAAGGGCGCGUAGGCGGCGUUUUAAGUCGGGGGUGAAAGCCUGUGGCUCAACCACAGAAUGGCCUUCGAUACUGGGACGCUUGAGUAUGGUAGAGGUUGGUGGAACUGCGAGUGUAGAGGUGAAAUUCGUAGAUAUUCGCAAGAACACCGGUGGCGAAGGCGGCCAACUGGACCAUUACUGACGCUGAGGCGCGAAAGCGUGGGGAGCAAACAGG